AUUGAACGCUGGCGGCAGGCCUAACACAUGCAAGUCGAGCGGAUGAAGGGAGCUUGCUCCGGGAUUCAGCGGCGGACGGGGGAGUAAUGCCUAGGAAUCUGCCUGGUAGUGGGGGAGAACGUCCGGAAACGGGCGCUAAUACCGCAUACGUCCUGAGGGAGAAAGUGGGGGAUCUUCGGACCUCACGCGAUCAGAUGAGCCUAGGUCGGAUUAGCUAGUUGGUGGUGUAAAGGCCUACCAAGGCGACGAUCCGUAACUGGUCUGAGAGGAUGAUCAGUCACACUGGAACGACGAAACGGUCCAGACUCCUACGGGAGGCAACGAUGGGGAAUAUUGGACAAUGGGCGAAAGCCUGAUCCAGCCAUGCCGCGUGUGUGAAGAAGGUCUUCGGAUUGUAAAGCACUUUAAGUUGGGAGGAAGGGCAGUAAGUUAAUACCUUGCUGUUUUGACGUUCCCUACAGAAUAAGCACCGGCUAACUUCGUG
Molecule: ribosomal RNA, 484 nt
Filed under: uncultured bacterium
Lineage: Bacteria
Description: partial 16S ribosomal RNA
Rfam family: Bacterial small subunit ribosomal RNA
Source: RNAcentral